UCCUAACACCAUUGUAGUGGAUUUUUUGUUGAAGAACCCCUUUCAUGUCCCACAUCAGAUUCAAGCUUCUUAGAAAAAGCAGCAUCAAUCACGUAACAGACAAAAGUCUGCGUAAUCAAAAUGCGCAACGAGAAGGUUUCAGUGUGGCGGAUGCUACCUUGUAUUCUGUCAAAACCGUCUUGCCAUCUCCAUAACCUGGACUGGGAAGGGGGUAUCCUGUUUCGGGGAUUAUUUUUCUGAAGACCAUUCCUCAUACUAAAGUCCCCUCUUAUUCGCUGAUUAAGAGGUGAUGACUACUCCACUCCACAACCAUUGUCAACUUUCUCCUGACAUGACCUGAAGCCACGUCUUAUGUAUCCGCUCAUCCAUUGGCACAUUGAUUCUUUCCCCUCCAAGCACUUUUUUUGUCUUCCCAGUCAAAUCCUGUCCUCCACCGGUCAAGCCUAUGGACACCUCAAGUCAUGCCUCAUACCCUCAUUCAAUCACAGCUGAGAUCCCUUUCCAACACGGU
Long non-coding RNA from Oncorhynchus gorbuscha (pink salmon), 511 nucleotides. RefSeq lists it as uncharacterized. Lineage: Eukaryota; Metazoa; Chordata; Actinopteri; Salmoniformes; Salmonidae. The record is from RefSeq and is a predicted model, not a curated record. The transcript has 4 exons.